UGCAAAGUACUUGUGGGUUUCCUGUCUGCUUGUCCGCAAACUGCCUCCUUAUUUCAUUAGUAUUUAAUGCAACACUUGUUGCUUGUUCUCAGUUACACAUGAAUGGGUAAAAUGGCAUCUUUCACAGUAUUUCUGCCAUCCUUUUACUUGUUUUGGAUCAUCACUCCUUACUUCCUGUUUGCAUUCACUCAUGUCCAUGGACUCCCGAAACCUGAGCUGUUUGUAUCCUCCUCAGUAAUUUUGCCGACAACCACAGUCCAUCUGAGUUGUGUAGUCCCUCAGGAUCCAGUAGAUCAGUGUAUUUUCAUGGUGGGAAAGACAUACACCACCUCUACAUCAUCAUGCGAGCUGACCCUCACAGGAGAACAAAUUAUAGUCCGGGGACAUGUAAACCCACCUUCAGUGCUUCCAGUGAAAUGUUUCUACACUGUAAAAGGGUCUGGUGUUAAUCGUCCCUCUGAUCACUCUUCUCCUGUUUCGGUGCUUGUGCUGGAUAAUUUGCAGAAACCCAAGGUAAGCGUGCAUCAUGACCGAACAAAUAAGCUGUUCGACAUUGUUUGUGAAAUACCCAAGCAGUCCUGGAAUGUCACUGGAUGCCAGUUUUAUACUGGACAUGGGGAGAACUUGUACCCGACAGCUAAAAUAGCAUCUGGAAACUGCCAUUUGUAUUCUGUGGACGAGGAUGAUUUAUUCAGACGUCUGCAGUCAGUGGGGAGCGGAGAGGUGAGCUGUGAUUAUAUAGUGAACACAGAACCUUCAUCUCUCUCUCCACGCAGUGACCCUUACACCAUUCAAGGAUACCAGCCCCCGACCAAAAAUACUCCUUUAAGACCAUCAGAAGCAGUGUCAUGGGGAACAGUGUUGAUCUUGGCGGUGACUAGCCUGUGCAUUGGCCUGGCUGGCGUGUCAGCAAUCUGUCUCAUCUGGACAUGUCGUAUGUGAUAAUCAUGACAUUUCAUUCAUAGAAUAGCUCUAGGAAAACACAUUCAUGCUGAAGGUAACACAUUUGCAACUUUCCUAGGUGUGUUUUAUAGACAACUGGUUUUGUUACCAUCUUAAAAUUCAUUUGAUGCGUUGUGGUCAUAUGAAGGACCGAUAAAGACUCCUGUCAUUCCCACUAUUCGCCCAGGCUAUACACUGUGUAGUUUGGUGGUCUGGGACAGACACGGAUUGACAUUGCCAAUUAUAUCUCCAAAGGUCACCAGCUGGCACAUUAGCAAGCUUUUAUCAGUGUCAGAUGUGCUGUUGUUAGUGUUUACAAGGUUUUUGCAUGCAGCCUAAUUUAUUUUAUAUAUCUGAAAGAUGCAGCCUUAUUUACUCUCUGAUAGGCACAUCUUAUUUUCUCUUUCAGGGAAACAUAAACAUCAGAGUUCAAAGGGUACUCUAGGCAGGACCAGACAGAAGAAUCACCCAGACAUUAUGCCUGCACAUAAUACAGUUAGAGUAAGUACGUUUACUGUCAUUGAUACUCAAUAAAUAGUGAAAUUACAAACUGUGUUUUUCAUCCUUCAGACUGUUAAUGACACUGCUGGAACAUUCUCCAUGACCACCUCCACCUCCCUGACUGUAGCUCCAGAGGUUGACAAAAGGGAAGACAUUUUCUCUGAACAGGAUGAUGUGAGUGCUCUAUGUGCAAAGUACUGUGCUAUGGAUGUAUAGCAAAAAUCAAUAGCUUUUUUAUUCAGAUUAAUUUACGGGGCCAUCAGAUAUGCUUAGCUGUGUUUAUCACUACUGUUGUUGUUAAGUAUUGAUAUGAUGGUUGUAGUGUACCCUGUUGUGUUAUAAUACUUAAGCAACGUUGUUUGGUAUGAGUACUUGGAUG
Long non-coding RNA from Clupea harengus (Atlantic herring), 1822 nucleotides. The record is from Ensembl. Lineage: Eukaryota; Metazoa; Chordata; Actinopteri; Clupeiformes; Clupeidae.